AUGCAAGUCGCACGAGAAAGGGCUUCGGCCCCGGUAAAGUGGCGCACGGGUGAGUAACACGUAGGUAAUCUCCCCUCGAGUGGUGGAUAACCCUCCGAAAGGAGAGCUAAUACAGCAUGAGACCACGAGCUCUUCGGAGCUUGCGGCCAAAGCAGGCCUCUACAUGUAAGCUUGCGCUGGAGGAUGAGCCUGCGACCCAUCAGGUAGUUGGCAGGGUAACGGCCUACCAAGCCUAAGACGGGUAGCUGGUCUGAGAGGAUGAACAGCCACACUGGAACUGACACACGGUCCAGACUCCUACGGGAGGCAGCAGUGGGGAAUCUUGCGCAAUGGGCGAAAGCCUGACGCAGCGACGCCGCGUGAGCGAUGAAGGCCUUCGGGUUGUAAAGCUCUGUGGGGAGGGAAGAAUAAGGGUUGGCUAAUACCCAACUCGAUGACGGUACCUCCUUAGCAAGCACCGGCUAACUCUGUGCCAGCAGCCGCGGUAAUACAGAGGGUGCAAACGUUGUUCGGAAUUACUGGGCGUAAAGCGCGUGCAGGCGGCCUUGCAAGUCGGACGUGAAAUCCCACGGCUCAACCGUGGAAGUGCAUUCGAAACUGCGAGGCUGGAGUCCUGGAGAGGAAAGUGGAAUACUCGGUGUAGAGGUGAAAUUCGUAGAUAUCGAGUGGAACACCGGUGGCGAAGGCGGCUUUCUGGACAGGUGCUGACGCUGAGACGCGAAAGCGUGGGGAGCAAACAGGAUUAGAUACCCUGGUAGUCCACGCCGUAAACGAUGAGUGCUAGGUGUCACGGGCUUUUGACC
RNAcentral lists this ribosomal RNA (803 nucleotides) under uncultured bacterium. Its description in RNAcentral is "bacterial SSU rRNA". It matches the Rfam family "Bacterial small subunit ribosomal RNA", at positions 55 to 838 of the family's 1533-position model. The record is from RNAcentral.